RNAcentral lists this ribosomal RNA (1385 nucleotides) under Klebsiella aerogenes. RNAcentral describes it as "bacterial SSU rRNA". It matches the Rfam family "Bacterial small subunit ribosomal RNA", at positions 66 to 1440 of the family's 1533-position model. The record is from RNAcentral. Lineage: Bacteria; Pseudomonadati; Pseudomonadota; Gammaproteobacteria; Enterobacterales; Enterobacteriaceae.
GCGGUAACACAGAGAGCUUGCUCUCGGGUGACGAGCGGCGGACGGGUGAGUAAUGUCUGGGAAACUGCCUGAUGGAGGGGGAUAACUACUGGAAACGGUAGCUAAUACCGCAUAACGUCGCAAGACCAAAGUGGGGGACCUUCGGGCCUCAUGCCAUCAGAUGUGCCCAGAUGGGAUUAGCUAGUAGGUGGGGUAAUGGCUCACCUAGGCGACGAUCCCUAGCUGGUCUGAGAGGAUGACCAGCCACACUGGAACUGAGACACGGUCCAGACUCCUACGGGAGGCAGCAGUGGGGAAUAUUGCACAAUGGGCGCAAGCCUGAUGCAGCCAUGCCGCGUGUAUGAAGAAGGCCUUCGGGUUGUAAAGUACUUUCAGCGAGGAGGAAGGCGUUAAGGUUAAUAACCUUGGCGAUUGACGUUACUCGCAGAAGAAGCACCGGCUAACUCCGUGCCAGCAGCCGCGGUAAUACGGAGGGUGCAAGCGUUAAUCGGAAUUACUGGGCGUAAAGCGCACGCAGGCGGUCUGUCAAGUCGGAUGUGAAAUCCCCGGGCUCAACCUGGGAACUGCAUUCGAAACUGGCAGGCUAGAGUCUUGUAGAGGGGGGUAGAAUUCCAGGUGUAGCGGUGAAAUGCGUAGAGAUCUGGAGGAAUACCGGUGGCGAAGGCGGCCCCCUGGACAAAGACUGACGCUCAGGUGCGAAAGCGUGGGGAGCAAACAGGAUUAGAUACCCUGGUAGUCCACGCCGUAAACGAUGUCGACUUGGAGGUUGUGCCCUUGAGGCGUGGCUUCCGGAGCUAACGCGUUAAGUCGACCGCCUGGGGAGUACGGCCGCAAGGUUAAAACUCAAAUGAAUUGACGGGGGCCCGCACAAGCGGUGGAGCAUGUGGUUUAAUUCGAUGCAACGCGAAGAACCUUACCUACUCUUGACAUCCAGAGAACUUAGCAGAGAUGCUUUGGUGCCUUCGGGAACUCUGAGACAGGUGCUGCAUGGCUGUCGUCAGCUCGUGUUGUGAAAUGUUGGGUUAAGUCCCGCAACGAGCGCAACCCUUAUCCUUUGUUGCCAGCGGUCCGGCCGGGAACUCAAAGGAGACUGCCAGUGAUAAACUGGNAGGAAGGUGGGGAUGACGUCAAGUCAUCAUGGNCCCUUACGAGUAGGGCUACACACGUGCUACAAUGGCAUAUACAAAGAGAAGCGACCUCGCGAGAGCAAGCGGACCUCAUAAAGUAUGUCGUAGUCCGGAUUGGAGUCUGCAACUCGACUCCAUGAAGUCGGAAUCGCUAGUAAUCGUAGAUCAGAAUGCUACGGUGAAUACGUUCCCGGGCCUUGUACACACCGCCCGUCACACCAUGGGAGUGGGUUGCUAAAAGAAGUAGGUAGCUUAACC